UUUCGUGACCUUGUACCAAGGUAUUGGUUGCAGGGAGCGUUUUGCCUUUAACUUGUUGAUUCGUAAUGCCUGUUAGGUUAGCUCUCGUCAAUGGUGAUUGAGUCUGGGACUAGGUUAACUUGAGAGUCUCUGUUGCGGUGGCACUUAGAUUUGGUUAAUGAACUUGUUGUCUAGGGUUAAUUUAUUGAGCAUGUCAAUCACCUGUAAACUGAGGAAACGAAACUACUCAAUUACCCCAUCCUCGGGAAUUCUUUAUCUGAUUGAAUUCUUUGUUUACUCUACUGUUGUUUACUGCAUCUUGUCAUCUGUCGCUUAGUUUCUGCAAUUCUUUACUGUUACUCGACCUGAUACUCGACCACCCAGUUGUCUGGCAACAGACUGUGCAGUCGAGUACCCCACCCAGUGCUCUGCAACGAGUUGUGUUGGUCGAGUGUUUAUUUGUUUUUGCUUGACUUUGUGUUUUCUGCAUGUUCACUUAGGACUGCUAGAACGCACCAAAACCUAUUAUUGCUUGGCUUGACUUAGUGACUUCUGAUCACAUCUUGAUUGUUAGCAUCACACCCAUUUGUAUUGACAACCUAAAAUACUACAACGAUAUGAUUGGUGUUUUAGGAUAAUUGACUAAAAACCUAUUAUCAAUUUGGCGUCGUUGCCAAUUGGGUGUUUGUUUGUUAAAUUUGAGAUUUCAGACUUGCUUAGAUCAAGUUCUUUUUCAAUUUUCAGUUCAGUUACUGACUAUGUGUUUUUCUUUUUGUCUUCUCGACUGAGGUACACCUCUGCUGCGUCGAAUGACCAGUUAAAGCAUUGGUGAUUAGG
RNAcentral lists this small RNA (816 nucleotides) under Arabidopsis thaliana (thale cress). Its description in RNAcentral is "ATSL201160". The record is from RNAcentral. Lineage: Eukaryota; Viridiplantae; Streptophyta; Magnoliopsida; Brassicales; Brassicaceae.